Molecule: ribosomal RNA, 590 nt
Filed under: uncultured bacterium
Lineage: Bacteria
Description: bacterial SSU rRNA
Rfam family: Bacterial small subunit ribosomal RNA
Source: RNAcentral
ACGGGUGAGUAACACGUAGGUAACCUGCCUUUAAGACUGGGAUAACUAUCGGAAACGAUAGCUAAGACCGGAUAACUGGUUUUCUCGCAUGAGAGAAUCAUGAAACACGGAGCAAUCUGUGGCUUGAAGAUGGGCCUGCGGCGCAUUAGCUAGUUGGUGAGGUAACGGCUCACCAAGGCGACGAUGCGUAGCCGACCUGAGAGGGUGAACGGCCACACUGGGACUGAGACACGGCCCAGACUCCUACGGGAGGCAGCAGUAGGGAAUCUUCCGCAAUGGACGCAAGUCUGACGGAGCAACGCCGCGUGAGUGAUGAAGGUUUUCGGAUCGUAAAGCUCUGUUGCCCUAGACGAACAGCAAGGAGAGUAACUGCUCUUUGUGUGACGGUAUAGGAGAAGAAAGCCCCGGCUAACUACGUGCCAGCAGCCGCGGUAAUACGUAGGGGGCAAGCGUUGUCCGGAAUUAUUGGGCGUAAAGCGCGCGCAGGCGGUCAUUUAAGUCUGGUGUUUAAUCCUGGGGCUCAACCCCAGUUCGCAUCGGAAACUGGAUGACUUGAGUGUAGGAGAGGAAAGUGGAAUUCCACGUGUAGC